This 253-nucleotide ribosomal RNA is filed under the name uncultured bacterium. Its description in RNAcentral is "partial 16S ribosomal RNA". It matches the Rfam family "Bacterial small subunit ribosomal RNA", at positions 524 to 776 of the family's 1533-position model. The record is from RNAcentral.
UACAGAGGGUGCGAGCGUUAAUCGGAAUUACUGGGCGUAAAGCGUGCGCAGACGGUCAUGUAAGUCGGGUGUGAAAGCCCCGGGCUCAACCUGGGAAUUGCAUUCGAUACUCCGGAGCUCGAGUCCUGGAGAGGAAGGCGGAAUUCUCGGUGUAGAGGUGAAAUUCGUAGAUAUCGAGAGGAACACCGGUGGCGAAGGCGGCCUUCUGGACAGUGACUGACGCUGAGACACGAAAGCGUGGGGAGCAAACAGG